UGGGGAAUAUUGGACAAUGGGCGAAAGCCUGAUCCAGCCAUGCCGCGUGUGUGAAGAAGGUCUUCGGAUUGUAAAGCACUUUAAGUUGGGAGGAAGGGCAGUAAGCGAAUACCUUGCUGUUUUGACGUUACCGACAGAAUAAGCACCGGCUAACUCUGUGCCAGUAGCCGCGGUAAUACAGAGGGUGCAAGCGUUAAUCGGAAUUACUGGGCGUAAAGCGCGCGUAGGUGGUUCGUUAAGUUGAAUGUGAAAGCCCCGGGCUCAACCUGGGAACUGCAUCCGAAACUGGCGAGCUAGAGUAGGGCAGAGGGUGGUGGAAUUUCCUGUGUAGCGGUGAAAUGCGUAGAUAUAGGAAGGAACACCAGUGGCGAAGGCGACCACCUGGGCUCAUACUGACACUGAGGUGCGAAAGCGUGGGGAGCAAACAGG
RNAcentral lists this ribosomal RNA (429 nucleotides) under Pseudomonadota bacterium. Its description in RNAcentral is "Proteobacteria bacterium partial 16S ribosomal RNA". It matches the Rfam family "Bacterial small subunit ribosomal RNA", at positions 355 to 776 of the family's 1533-position model. Lineage: Bacteria; Pseudomonadati; Pseudomonadota. The record is from RNAcentral.